ACAGAUUUUCAUAACAGCCGCUGGGCACGCAUAUACUUGAAGAGGCAGGGCGCUUCCGCAACAGCAACAACCCCUGAACGCGUUUCAAGAAAAACUGCUGAGAAAGUAACGGAUACAGUAAAAAUUGUACUUUCUCUUCACCAUGGUAUGACUUUUGAUAAAAGGUAAGAAGGAGCGCAAUGCAUCAGCUGCUGCAUUAAUGGAAGCUCCAGAGCCUGAAGGUGCUGCUGGGUCAUCUGCUCCGACAGAGACAGCUGUACAGAAAUGUGGUUCAUGAAGUUAAAGGUCACGCAGAAACAAAUCUGAGCACAAUAGUGGCCUCCCCACUAAAUAAACAGCAUCACUAGACAAUAGCAUAUAUUGUGUUUUAGAUGCUGGUGCUCCAACAAGACCAUCUAAGUUUGUUUUGUCUCAGAGAUUCUGCAGUAACAAUUAUAUGACAACAGACCAGAUUUUCUCUGCGUGACCUUUUAUUUUUUAUGUGCCGACUCUUAUUACUUUAUUCUUUUUUCAUCUUUUUUCCAUUAGCUGUAGUUUGUGAAGGUCUGGUCAUCAACCUCUGCCUCAGGGGCGGUUCAGAUCUGAUGUUUAUCUGCAGCUUUUGUGUUUAUACUCAUCAACUAACUGAUUGUACAAUGAGUAAAAACCAAUUGUUAAAUCUGACAUUAUUUAUAAGAUCAUGUUUGUUAUGGCAAAAAUAAAAAGGUGAAACUUUGGUUC
Molecule: long non-coding RNA, 720 nt
Filed under: Danio rerio (zebrafish)
Lineage: Eukaryota; Metazoa; Chordata; Actinopteri; Cypriniformes; Danionidae
Description: si:dkey-100n23.4 (ENSDARG00000092870.4)
Source: RNAcentral